UUUCAUAUGGAUGGUAUAGGUGCCCUUUGGGGCUUAAUAGGGAAGUCCGGUUCAAUUCCGGCGCGGUCCCGCCACUGUAAUGAGGAGCAAACCCAUUUUUAUGCCACUGGAGUAAUCAUUCUGGGAAGGUAUGGGUAAGCAAUGAUCCAAAGUCAGGAGAACUGCCUAUAUAGCAAUCACCGA
Molecule: non-coding RNA, 183 nt
Filed under: Pelosinus fermentans
Lineage: Bacteria; Bacillati; Bacillota; Negativicutes; Selenomonadales; Sporomusaceae
Source: RNAcentral